AACGAACGCUGGCAGCGUGGAUUAGGCAUGCAAGUCGAACGAGAAUCCCUGAUGUAGCAAUACAACGGGGAGGAGAGUGGCGAAAGGGUGAGUAACGCGUGGGCAAUCUACCUCGAAGUUGGGGAUAACCCGUCGAAAGGCGGGCUAAUACCGAAUGUGGUUAUCUGUCGCAUGGCGGAUGGACUGAAGGCGGGGACCGCAAGGCCUGUCGCUUCGAGAGGAGCCCGCGUCCUAUCAGCUUGUUGGUGAGGUAACGGCUCACCAAGGCUUACGGGUAGCUGGUCUGAGAGGAUGGUCAGCCACACUGGGACUGAGACACUGCCCAGACUCCUACGGGAGGCUG
RNAcentral lists this ribosomal RNA (343 nucleotides) under uncultured Lentisphaerota bacterium. Its description in RNAcentral is "bacterial SSU rRNA". It matches the Rfam family "Bacterial small subunit ribosomal RNA", at positions 29 to 351 of the family's 1533-position model. The record is from RNAcentral. Lineage: Bacteria; Pseudomonadati; Lentisphaerota.